UGAGACAGUUCGGUCUCUAUCCGCCGCGCGCGUUGAAACUUGAAGAAGGCUGUCCCUAGUACGAGAGGACCGGGACGGACGUACCUCUAGUGUGCCAGUUGUCACGCCAGUGGCAGGGCUGGUUGGCUACGUACGGGAGGGAUAACCGCUGAAAGCAUCUUAGCGGGAAGCCUGUUUUGAGAUGAGGUUUCUUUUGAGGAUCCCUCUAGAC
Molecule: ribosomal RNA, 211 nt
Filed under: Corynebacterium diphtheriae
Lineage: Bacteria; Bacillati; Actinomycetota; Actinomycetes; Mycobacteriales; Corynebacteriaceae
Description: partial 23S ribosomal RNA
Rfam family: Bacterial large subunit ribosomal RNA
Source: RNAcentral